UAUGGCGACCGGCGCACGGGUGAGUAACACGUAUCCAACCUGCCGAUGACUCGGGGAUAGCCUUUCGAAAGAAAGAUUAAUACCCGAUGGCAUAGUUCUUCCGCAUGGUAGAACUAUUAAAGAAUUUCGGUCAUCGAUGGGGAUGCGUCCCAUUAGGUUGUUGGCGGGGUAACGGCCCACCAAGCCUUCGAUGGAUAGGGGUUCUGAGAGGAAGGUCCCCCACAUUGGAACUGAGACACGGUCCAA
RNAcentral lists this ribosomal RNA (246 nucleotides) under uncultured bacterium. RNAcentral's name for it is "partial 16S ribosomal RNA". It matches the Rfam family "Bacterial small subunit ribosomal RNA", at positions 87 to 334 of the family's 1533-position model. The record is from RNAcentral.